GCGAUUAGUAGCCACUUAAAUUUAGCUAUGUUUUCGGAAAUUGGAGAUUUGCAUUGUAUGCUUAAUUUUUGGAAGCCACUGUACUUUAUUAUUAUCAUUUCUGCUUUUGUUUUAAUUUUCUAGUUUAAACUUAUCUAUGUAAAGAAGAAUUCUUAUCUCUCUUAAAUGCUCAAUUUUAAAUAGAUGGGUCUGCCUAUGACUUAUGAGGUACAGUUCAUCUGUGACCACUGGCAUGGUAUUGCCAGAAUUCCUAAAGCUUACUUCCCUCCUCGUAUACGUCGUUUUAAUGCGUACGCUAUUCAUGGAACAGGCGAAGGUCGUCAUUAUGAAGCUUUAUAUCCGGUGCCAAGAAAUCAGUUUGAGCAACCAGACACUCAUCGGUUAGAAAAAUUUGGGUACCUUUCAUUCUCAGGUCGUAUUCGAUGUAGGCCAUUCCCUUACCCUGUCUGAUGUAUGGCGUGAAGCUGUAGAAAAUCAUGAAAAAGUAUUAACCUGCAAGGCUAGUGAUACCAAAUGAAGUAAUUUUGUUCAUUGAAGUGCAGUAAG
Molecule: long non-coding RNA, 546 nt
Organism: Stegodyphus dumicola
Lineage: Eukaryota; Metazoa; Arthropoda; Arachnida; Araneae; Eresidae
Source: RefSeq, a predicted model, not a curated record